GGAUUAGAUACCCUGGUAGUCCACGCCGUAAACGAUGUCUACUUGGAGGUUGUGGCCUUGAGCCGUGGCUUUCGGAGCUAACGCGUUAAGUAGACCGCCUGGGGAGUACGGUCGCAAGAUUAAAGCUCAAAUGAAUUGACGGGGGCCCGCACAAGCGGUGGAGCAUGUGGUUUAAUUCGAAGCAACGCGAAGAACCUUACCUGGCCUUGACAUCCUAAGAAGACUGCAGAGACGCAGUUGUGCCCUUCGGGGAACUUAGUGACAGGUGCUGCAUGGCUGUCGUCAGCUCGUGCUG
Molecule: ribosomal RNA, 295 nt
Filed under: uncultured bacterium
Lineage: Bacteria
Description: partial 16S ribosomal RNA
Rfam family: Bacterial small subunit ribosomal RNA
Source: RNAcentral